CGAGGUAGUCCGGCAUUGGAGGAUCGCWCUUCUCUUCCUGUAGGACGUCGCAACCCGUUKGCUGGCGGUCUACUGKACCGAGAAGKCAGCCUCCAGAUGGGCUGGUUUCGGCUCGCCCUCUGGAGACUCUUGGCUCCUGACCGAUCGKCCKAUCGGUAUGGCUGUGAAGGUGUUGRCYGCCGUCAGGCGAGCGUCCAGGCAAGCCACAAGCGGUGGCCUGUUCCGGUAGCACGGGCCUUGUGUCCGGCUGCUGGGCUCGUCCCURCUGUUGGCGGCUUSWUCUUSGAYCGGUAACAACACCGGUUGGYGACGCUUAAGCUUUGGGUGCUUAUCCGACCCGUCUUGAAACACGGACCAAGGAGUCUAACGUKUGCGCGAGUCGUUGSGAUUCGAAACGAUAAUCCCGUGGGCGAUAAUGAGAGUGAAGGUGGUAGAAGGCSUCCGGGCCUCCUACCCUGAGSGAGGAYGGGCGUCSGUACUCUUUAKUCGGCGMUCUGCACUCCCSGGGCGUCUCGAUCUCUYYGCAAGGCGAGGYGAGGCGCACCUAGAGCGUACACGUUGGGACCCGAAAGAUGGUGAACUAUGCCUGGCCAGGACGAUAG
Molecule: ribosomal RNA, 602 nt
Filed under: Neoptera sp. NZAC 03011642
Lineage: Eukaryota; Metazoa; Arthropoda; Insecta
Description: partial 28S ribosomal RNA
Rfam family: Eukaryotic large subunit ribosomal RNA
Source: RNAcentral